This 497-nucleotide ribosomal RNA is filed under the name uncultured bacterium. RNAcentral's name for it is "bacterial SSU rRNA". It matches the Rfam family "Bacterial small subunit ribosomal RNA", at positions 501 to 1000 of the family's 1533-position model. The record is from RNAcentral.
CUACGUGCCAGCAGCCGCGGUAAUACGUAGGGGGCAAGCGUUAUCCGGAUUCAUUGGGCGUAAAGCGCUCGUAGGCGGUCUGUUAGGUCGGGAGUUAAAUCCGGGGGCUCAACCCCCGUUCGCUCCCGAUACCGGCAGACUUGAGUUUGGUAGGGGAAGGUGGAAUUCCUAGUGUAGCGGUGGAAUGCGCAGAUAUUAGGAAGAACACCAGUGGCGAAGGCGGCCUUCUGGGCCAUAACUGACGCUGAGGAGCGAAAGCUAGGGGAGCAAACAGGAUUAGAUACCCUGGUAGUCCUAGCCGUAAACGAUGGACACUAGGUGUGGGGGAAUAUUUCUUCCGUGCCGCAGCUAACGCAUUAAGUGUCCCGCCUGGGGAGUACGGCCGCAAGGCUAAAACUCAAAGGAAUUGACGGGGGCCCGCACAAGCAGCGGAGCAUGUGGUUUAAUUCGAAGCAACGCGAAGAACCUUACCAGGGCUUGACAUCCAGAGAACAUUC